UUCAGAUCAUUGGUUCACAAAUAUUUUUACAGUGUUGGCUCUUUGACUGGUUUUAGAGCAAGACUUGUUUUGCAUUAGGAUGGUAUGACCAAGUGCCCAGACAACAGCAGGGGCAAACACCUUGAUCAGGACUGAGACAAGACAGGUUUUGAAAAGAAAGUGGAGAAGCGUUUAGGUCACAAGGUAGGGUGCGAACUCAUAUGGACUUGAGGCAAAUCCUGGGAGCUGCCAGCCAUAAAAGCCCCAACACAGCACAGCAACUCAGCAUCUUCAAAAUGGCGCUGGUGGCAGCUCCCACAGAGGAUGUUUUCCCGCCUUAUCCUAACGGCUCCGUAGCACCGGGCAACAGCGGGCCCCAGUUGUUCAGUGACCAACGCGCUGCCGGUGUACAUCGGUCUGAGGUGCCGCAAGCACUGACAUUGCCCCACAGCCUCCGUGGAGCUUCCCGUCCUCCUCCACCGCUGUAGACCAGAUCCUGGACAAACGCUGCGCCAGGAGGCCGCUGCGCCCGCCGGAGCGUCUUUCCCUCGGUCUCCACCAGAGGGGGCUCCGGCUCUUCUGCCCAGGCAGCUCGAGUCUGUAUUUACUUCCAGUCCCCAUGAAUUCACUGGAAGAAUGGAUGCCAUUAGAGCUACCCAGCUUAUGUGUCCCGAGGAUCUCUUGCAGUUUCCUCACCAAAAUCUCUUUGGAUUCCUUUUGAUACGAAAUAGUUUAUUGCUGUGAUACGACAAAAUCCUGUUUACUUAACGUGCAGGUCACACCAGUUAUGGAAUAACACUUCUGAGUUUGAAGAUUAGUGAAGUGAAGAUUAGUGAUUUGUCUCCCUGGUCUGCAUGUUGUCUUUUUCAAUGCUACUCUUUGUACGUUGGAACCGUUGAACCAUUGUUGGAGCAUUUUAUAUACCAAUCUUCUUCUAUAGUAUUGCAAUUACAGAAAGCGUUACGCUUUUUGAUGUAAGUUAAAUAAAAGCUUAAAACUAUAAAAGUCCUUUCUUCCAAAAAUUAAUGACCAAGUACUGUACCUAAAAUAAGAAGUGCUUUGAUAUGAGAUGCAUUUGUUGGCUUUGAUUCAUUUUGAUAUUAUCUGGUGCUAUUAAAGGGACUAUUCUCCUUUUGGCUGGGGUUGACUUGCAGUCAGCCUGACUUAUCCGACUGCAAGAUAAGAACUCACCUAGGAGCUUAGCCUGGCUUCCUCUGUCACUGAGACAGGCACUAACAUGAUUCAUCUUGCAUGUUUUCAGCAGCAAGUCUAAGGUAAGACAUUGCAGUCCA
This is a long non-coding RNA of Phasianus colchicus (ring-necked pheasant), 1271 nucleotides long. RefSeq lists it as uncharacterized. NCBI's taxonomy places the organism in Eukaryota, Metazoa, Chordata, Aves, Galliformes, Phasianidae. The record is from RefSeq and is a predicted model, not a curated record.